UAACAGCCAUCAGCGCUGGGCAGUGAAGCUUAACAUCAUAUCUCAGUUGUAAAGUGGAAACAUCACUCGUUUUUAAACUCUCGUAUCGUUUUAGUAGUUUUAAAUGAAAUAAUGUGGUAGGGAUUACUUAUAUUCGUUAUAUUUCCAGGCAACUUUUCAACAAACAUAUCGCAUAUCCGGCGUUUUCUUUCGACUGUUUAGAAUCUGAACUAGCAGCGUUCGAUUCGCAAAGGAAUCAUUAUUUUGAGUCAGUUCUUUACAACGAAUCACAAAAUUAUUGAAGCAGAAUCGAAUCUUUUCGAACAGCUCACUCACACACUAGGUUUCACGCCAAAGUACAAACAGUAACGGAGGCCUUAACAAAACAGAAAUGUCGCUGCAUGAAGUGAAGAAGGUCUUUUUUAAUUUCAACGCCUGCAGAUUUUAUGUCAUCACACGCGAUACAGAGUUCAGAUACAUCAUGCAGCCUUUCCAUAUUUCCUGAGGGUGUGUGUGUGCGUGUGACGGAGAGAGACCUUGUGAAUCUCUGUGUGAGAUUGGAUGACCACAGAGUGACUGCUCUUCAGUAACACCAGACAUUACAAAUGAAGCAUAAACAGCCCUUAAAUAGAGAGAUCUACUAUAGCAUGCUGCCGACAUGCAUAGGUUUUGACAACAGUAGAAAAAAGGAGUGUAGUCUCAACAGUGCGCACAUGAGAAAAGACAGAGAGAGUAAGAAACCGAAAAGGGGAAUACAUCUGAAAUGAAAAGAAGCAUGGGAUCGACAUUUCACAUCUGCUCAUCACCCCCAGGCGAGACUGGCUUUUCUCCCAAAUGUCGUUUUUUUGUGUGUGUUUGUAUGUAAGGCUACAUUGUGGAAGCACUACAGUCUCUGUUUGAGAUCACCACGCAGACUUUGUGUCUAAUGGUUAAGGAUCUGAGCUGCUAAUUAAGUGGAUUAAAUUAAAUGAAACUAUUCUGAAUUUAAAAGGGGGAUUAAGGAGUUCAUGAUGUUAUGUUAUAGGAUCUUUAAGUUAGGAUUUUAGUUCUUGGGUGCUGUAGAGCACAAUUACAUAAAAAAAAAUGCAGCUGUAGUUGUCAAAAAUUCAUCAUAAAAAUGCAGUGCCAUGUUUCAGGUAUUAUGGGAUGACAUAUUGGUGCUUGAAUAUUUUACGACUUAUAAUUGUAUUUUUAAUGAAGCAAUAAUGUUGAUAUUCCAGUUUAACUUUUCCUUUAAAACCCUGUGUAAUAUGAUUUUUUUUUUAAAUGGAACAGUUUAUUGAACCUUUUGACAGAAUAUAAAGGUUAUAUGCAAAAAAUGAAAAUAUAAAAGAAAAAAGUUAGUACAAUUACGAUAUAGUGAGAAUAUGGAGCUCAAAUUUCAAUUUAAUUCAGAGGACCAAACUGAGCGAAUAUGCAAUUUGGUGAAGAUGUUAUUUAUAUGGCCAAAAAGUGAGAUGAAAUUCUGAGUUAGUGAGAUUUUUUUAAAUCAAUACUAUAAAAAACAUAUAAAUAUGCUUAGUUUUAUGAUCAAACCUUUGUAGUUUUAAUUGUUUGGGGUAAAACAUAUAAUGCAAUACAAUAUAUAAACAUUCCUCAAAAGUUUGUUGUAUCAAAUUUUGAAGAACCAGGGGAAGGGAUAGUUCACCCA
Onychostoma macrolepis is the source of this 1630-nucleotide long non-coding RNA. RefSeq lists it as uncharacterized. The record is from RefSeq and is a predicted model, not a curated record. The transcript is spliced from 4 exons. Lineage: Eukaryota; Metazoa; Chordata; Actinopteri; Cypriniformes; Cyprinidae.